UCUNUCUUAAAAGUUCGGGGCUUAACCCCGUGAUGGGAUGGAAACUGNCAAUCUAGAGUAUCGGAGAGGAAAGUGGAAUUCCUAGUGUAGCGGUGAAAUGCGUAGAUAUUAGGAAGAACACCAGUGGCGAAGGCGACUUUCUAGACGAAAACUGACGCUGAGGCGCGAAAGCCAGGGGAGCGAACGGGAUUAGAUACCCCGGUAGUCCCGGCCGUAAACGAUGGGUACUAGGUGUAGGAGGUAUCGACCCCUUCUGUGCCGGAGUUAACGCAAUAAGUACCCCGCCUGGGGAGUACGACCGCAAGGUUGAAACUCAAAGGAAUUGACGGGGGCCCGCACAAGCGGUGGAGUAUGUGGUUUAAUUCGACGCAACGCGAAGGACCUUACCAGGUCUUGACAUUGAUGGACAGAACUAGAGAUAGUUCCUCUUCUUCGGAAGCCAGAAAACAGGUGGUGCACGGUUGUCGUCAGCUCGUGUCGUGAGAUGUUGGGUUAAGUCCCGCAACGAGCGCAACCCCUAUCUUAUGUUGCCAGCACUUCGGGUGGGAACUCAUGAGAGACUGCCGCAGACAAUGCGGAGGAAGGCGGGGAUGACGUCAAAUCAUCAUGCCCCUUAUGACCUGGGCUACACACGUACUACAAUGGGAGUUAAUAGACGGAAGCAAUACCGCGAGGUGGAGCAAACCCGAGAAACACUCUCUCAGUUCGGAUCGUAGGCUGCAACUCGCCUACGUGAAGUCGGAAUCGCUAGUAAUCGCAGGUCAGCAUACUGCGGUGAAUACGUUCCCGGGCCUUGUACACACCGCCCGUCACACCACGAAAGUCGGA
This 828-nucleotide ribosomal RNA is filed under the name uncultured bacterium. Its description in RNAcentral is "bacterial SSU rRNA". It matches the Rfam family "Bacterial small subunit ribosomal RNA", at positions 588 to 1415 of the family's 1533-position model. The record is from RNAcentral.